GAUGAACGCUGGCGGCGUGCCUAAUACAUGCAAGUCGAGCGAAUAGACGAGGAGCUUGCUCCUCUGACGUUAGCGGCGGACGGGCGAGUAACACGUGGAUAACCUACCUAUAAGACUGGGAUAACUUCGGGAAACCGGAGCUAAUACCGGAUAAUAUAUUGAACCGCAUGGUUCAAUAGUGAAAGACGGUUUUGCUGUCACUUAUAGAUGGAUCCGCGCCGCAUUAGCUAGUUGGUAAGGUAACGGCUUACCAAGGCGACGAUGCGUAGCCGACCUGAGAGGGUGAUCGGCCACACUGGAACUGAGACACGGUCCAGACUCCUACGGGAGGCAGCAGUAGGGAAUCUUCCGCAAUGGGCGAAAGCCUGACGGAGCAACGCCGCGUGAGUGAUGAAGGUCUUCGGAUCGUAAAACUCUGUUAUUAGGGAAGAACAAAUGUGUAUGUAACUAUGCACGUCUUGACGGUACCUAAUCAGAAAGCCACGGCUAACUACGUG
This 497-nucleotide ribosomal RNA is filed under the name uncultured bacterium. Its description in RNAcentral is "partial 16S ribosomal RNA". It matches the Rfam family "Bacterial small subunit ribosomal RNA", at positions 28 to 507 of the family's 1533-position model. The record is from RNAcentral.